Molecule: non-coding RNA, 45 nt
Filed under: Schistosoma margrebowiei
Lineage: Eukaryota; Metazoa; Platyhelminthes; Trematoda; Strigeidida; Schistosomatidae
Source: RNAcentral
AUCUAGAUCACGAGUCCCAAAUAGGACGAAACGCGCGUCUUGAAU